AAGGUUUGAGCCAAUCUCUCUUCCUCUCUUCAAUUUUCAGAACAUACCAAUCUCUCUUCCUCUCUUCACUUUUCAAAACAUACUCAUAUUUUUUUCUGAUUUACAGUUUAUACAGUGGUUCAUUUUUAAGGUAUUAUACUUGCAGCAAGAAAAUGCCUGGUUCAGUUGGUCACUGGGAACAAGCAGCGAAAACUUUUGCAGCAUGGGUAUGAGAAUGAUCAAGAUGUCUUAAAAAAAUUUUAGGUGAAGCAGUAUGUUUUGCUGUUAUAGGACAUGCCACUUAUGCUGAAGUUUUUGACCAAAAUGAAAUGCCAGAAGCAUUAUUCACCAGUAUCCACCAGAUGUGAUAAAGAAGUCCUCCUAUGAUGUUCAGUUCAUUAUGUUGCUGGUUCCGGUAUAAAAAGAUUGACUAUUGAGCUGGCACUGUAGCAGCUAUUCAAAAGGAAAAAAUGGGUCAGAUUGUGCUUUAAGAGACACAUUGGGUAUUGCAUUAAUAAUACGUGAUUGUAAUAGUUCCCUCUGGUUUACUAGAUAGCAAUAGCGCGUGAGUGAGUGUUUUUGUGUCUCUGGUGCAAAUAUUGUACUAUCCUAAUUGGUUAUAAUAGUCUAUUGUCGUAUAUCUAUAAAUAGAAUACUAUCCUAUCGGCGCUAGAACACUUUGUAAUUAGACAAGCACAAUGUAAAACAUGUCGGGCCCGUGAAUCGUACGGGGAGCCCUCAUGUAGUAAAAUAAUACUUAUGUCCAAAAUUCACUAAUGAGUAAAGAACGCAAUA
Lycium ferocissimum is the source of this 774-nucleotide long non-coding RNA. RefSeq lists it as uncharacterized. Lineage: Eukaryota; Viridiplantae; Streptophyta; Magnoliopsida; Solanales; Solanaceae. The record is from RefSeq and is a predicted model, not a curated record. The transcript has 4 exons.